This 253-nucleotide ribosomal RNA is filed under the name uncultured bacterium. RNAcentral's name for it is "partial 16S ribosomal RNA". It matches the Rfam family "Bacterial small subunit ribosomal RNA", at positions 524 to 776 of the family's 1533-position model. The record is from RNAcentral.
UACGGGGGGAGCAAGCGUUGUUCGGAAUCACUGGGCGUAAAGGGAGCGUAGGCGGCGUGGUAAGUCAGAUGUGAAAUCCCGGGGCUCAACCCCGGAACUGCAUUGGAUACUGCCUUGCUCGAGUACUGGAGAGGGAACUGGAAUUUACGGUGUAGCAGUGAAAUGCGUAGAGAUCGUAAGGAAGGCCAGUGGCGAAGGCGAGUUCCUGGACAGUUACUGACGCUGAGGCACGAAGGCCAGGGGAGCAAACGGG